AGCAAUUUGAUUUUGAGGGUCCUUCACCAUUCUCUUUGAUUUUCGGGUUGUGGCCUACUUCCUCUCAAAAGAGAUGAAGUGGAAUUUUUCACAAUGUAGAGACUCUAAUUUCAUCACAACAAAGACCCCAGCUACUUUUCCAAUGUCCUUCAGUAACCCACGGGAUUAUUUUCUGCUUUCUGUUAUGCACAGUUAAAGACCAAAUCUAUAUAGUUUAGAAGCUGUCUGCAAAUUCCAGCAAUAGCAAAGUGAAAAGCCGAUAAAGGUAAUCGUAAAUGUGCACACAGAGAUGGAUGGAGAGAGAUUAAGAGAGGAAUUCUAGGACUGUCAAACUACUACCAUGUCAAAUCAUCACCCACCUUCAACCCUGCCUCUUGACACCUUCAUAUACUGCAAGAACCACUACCAAUACAGGGCUAUGGCUGCUACCGUGAUUUCAAAUAUCUCUAAUAGCAACCUCUGAGGACAACCAUCCAAAGGCAAGAUGGAAUGUGGGGUACUGCUGCAAGUGUUGCCUUGAAAAGAAAAGACUGCGGUUGAUUCAAAUGCUCCAGCUACUGCUUGCAGUGCACACAAGACUGAGACAGGGCUGAUGAAUAACUUUAUAUGUAAUAACAUUAUAACCUUAUUUCACAAAGAUCAAGGUCCUUAAUGUUUUUCUUUUAAUAUGUUUUUUUAUUUAUUUAAAUGGAUGUAGUUUAUUUAAAGAUAUGUAAAGCAUUCUUGUGUUUGCAUGUUGUGCUCCCUUUCUACUGUUUAUUAAUUGCACCAUAUAUGACUUUUCAAAUGAUACUCCUAAAUGUGAUUUUUAAAGCACAUUAAUGAUUACAAGAACAAGGAAUAAACAACUAGGAUUACCAGGAUUUUGUAAAUACACUGAAUAAUAGAAGGGAUUAUGUUAAAAAAAAUGAUAGAGACCUUAAAUUUCAUGAAAGAAAGGAUGCAAUUGAUAAUAGAUGUAGGAUGCCUACCAGUAGUUUGAGGUUGUUAACUAAAGGUACAAAUAAGUAAUACAAAGUUAGAUGUUGUUUUUAACUUUGUACUUAGGUAGAACACAACAAUCAAAUUUCUCAUAUUGGUGUAGUGUUUUAAGAGAUUUGAACUUCGAUAAAUACUCA
Molecule: long non-coding RNA, 1118 nt
Organism: Quercus lobata
Lineage: Eukaryota; Viridiplantae; Streptophyta; Magnoliopsida; Fagales; Fagaceae
Exons: 5
Source: RefSeq, a predicted model, not a curated record